GGGUAUCCGCUAAGGACUUACCUGAUGACCCCUUUACCUCAUCCCUCCAAUGCUGCGGAACAGGCCUAAAAUGAACAUCUAUGUAGACAGACAAGAUUUUGAUGUCGGCAUGUCACUGAUGGAUGCUUUCCUUUCAAGCCCAAUAAGUGAUGUGAACAAGCAACUGUUUCCAUUCGUCUGCCGUCUGCAUAACAUGUGUCUUGAACGUUCCUCUGAUAAAGGAUUUGGUUUGAGACGUGAUGGAAACGGAAGUAAUUAACAACACACCAGUACAGGGAGCAGCAUUUAAUAAGAGACAGCAGCUGAUCAAACUGUUUGAUAAUUUUUUUUUAAUUGGUACAAUUGAUGUAGUUAUUAAUGUUAUUAAGUGAUAGAUUGCUCGAGUCUUCUCUGAAUGCAGGCUAUACUUCUCAGUCAAAUAGCUUAAAGUUGUGUCAUCGCUGGUUUGGAAGGAUUGGUAUUCAUGGUGGUCUAGCCAUAUUUUAGUUACAAAAGCUGAUGUUUGCAUGUUUUAUAAUUUUGGUAUGCAUAAUUUGGCUAAUAUUUACUUCAAGGUUAUAGGUUUGUGAAACAUACAAAUGCCAAUGUUCUGAGUACCAAUAAAUAAGUUAUGUGUUAGAUAUUACCAAGUGCUUGAUUUAAUAAUAAUUUUAAAGGGACCUUUUAACAGAUUUUGGCAGAUAUUUAAGUUUUUCAUGAAAUGCUUGAUAUUGAUAAAUAUAAACAUUAGAUCUAAAAAGCUUUUGUAAAAAAACAAGAAUAAAAUUAAAGAUAGAAAAAAAAGUAACCCUCAACUGGGCUCAAACCACUGGCCUCUGGAGUAAAAGUCUUACAAUUAGACCACUCUGCCAUCUGUGCUCAUACAAUGAGUGAUGUAUUUUAUAAUUUAUAUAAGCAAUCCUCGUCGUGUCACAAAAUAUAACGACAACAACACAACUCUCGAAAUUGUUCAAUUGUAUCACGCUGCAACACUUUAAAAUUUUCAGUUUUUUUAAUCCUCAAAAGAUGCAUAUUAUGGAUAUUGUUGAGAAUGGUAACUGUUCAGUAUUACUGCUUCCUCACAAAUAUCAUAACUUCACGAAAUUUUGCGAAGCUGAAACAUGUACUAAAAUGUGAAUUGGUCCCUUUAAUAUUUAACAAUUAUCUGAGCUCCAGAAAAGAUCAUAUAUACUGAAGGUGUUUUUCCCCAUGAACAAUUUUUCAAGUGAUAUUUUACCCACUGAUCGUUAGCUCUAAUUGGUAUUCUUUGACAGUACUGAAAAUUCUCAAAGCCACAUUAAAAAAGUGGGCUUUUAAAAAUAUUUUUACUUAAUGAUAUAAAAUGUGCUGUCUAUAAAAACGGAUGAUAGUGUCAUGAAAAACUAGAAGAUUACCGGUAUACAAGAUCUUUGCCAAAUGUAUUUACUUAAAUAUACCCCUUUUAUUAUGCUUUGUUCAAUAAUUAAGUCUUCAUCUACCGUUAAAAUAUGUUGUUUACCUGUGCAACUGUUUUGUAAUUUCAUAGACAUUUUUAUCAUAAUAAUGUUGACUUUUUUUGAAAACAGUUGCAAUUACACUAGUAUUCAAUGAAUAAAACAGUACGAACAUU
Molecule: long non-coding RNA, 1588 nt
Organism: Dreissena polymorpha
Lineage: Eukaryota; Metazoa; Mollusca; Bivalvia; Myida; Dreissenidae
Exons: 2
Source: RefSeq, a predicted model, not a curated record